RNAcentral lists this ribosomal RNA (460 nucleotides) under uncultured bacterium. RNAcentral describes it as "partial 16S ribosomal RNA". It matches the Rfam family "Bacterial small subunit ribosomal RNA", at positions 338 to 795 of the family's 1533-position model. The record is from RNAcentral.
CCUACGGGUGGCAGCAGUGAGGAAUAUUGGUCAAUGGGCGAGAGCCUGAACCAGCCAAGUCGCGUGAAGGAAGACGGUCCUACGGGUUGUAAACUUCUUUUGUCAGGGAGCAAUUGAGUCUACGUGUGGGCUUAGCGAGAGUACCCUAAGAAAAAGCAUCGGCUAACUCCGUGCCAGCAGCCGCGGUAUUACGGAGUAGGCGAGCGUUAUCCGGAUUUAUUGGGUUAAAAGGGUGCGUAGGAGGACUAGCAAGUCAGCGGUAAAAAUUCGGGGCUCAACCGCGUCGUGCCGUUGAAACUGAUGUUCUUGAGUGGGCGAGAAGUAUGCGGAAUGCGUGGUGUAGCGGUGAAAUGCAUAGAUAUCACGCAGAACUCCGAUUGCGAAGGCAGCAUACCGGCGCCCAACUGACGCUGAAGCACGAAAGCGUGGGUAUCGAACAGGAUUAGAUACCCCUGUAGUC